GAGUUUGAUCCUGGCUCAGGACGAACGCUGGCGGCGCGCCUAACACAUGCAAGUCGAACGAGAGAGAGGGAGCUUGCUUCCUCAAUCGAGUGGCGAACGGGUGAGUAACGCGUGAGGAACCUGCCUCAAAGAGGGGGACAACAGUUGGAAACGACUGCUAAUACCGCAUAAGCCCACGGCUCGGCAUCGAGCAGAGGGAAAAGGAGCAAUCCGCUUUGAGAUGGCCUCGCGUCCGAUUAGCUAGUUGGUGAGGUAAUGGCCCACCAAGGCGACGAUCGGUAGCCGGACUGAGAGGUUGAACGGCCACAUUGGGACUGAGACACAGCCCAGACUCCUACGGGAGGCAGCAGUGGGGAAUAUUGCACAAUGGGGGAAACCCUGAUGCAGCGACGCCGCGUGGAGGAAGAAGGUCUUCGGAUUGUAAACUCCUGUUGUUGAGGAAGAUAAUGACGGUACUCAACAAGGAAGUGACGGCUAACUACGUGCCAGCAGCCGCGGUAAAACGUAGGUCACAAGCGUUGUCCGGAAUUACUGGGUGUAAAGGGAGCGCAGGCGGGAAGACAAGUUGGAAGUGAAAUCUAUGGGCUCAACCCAUAAACUGCUUUCAAAACUGUUUUUCUUGAGUAGUGCAGAGGUAGGCGGAAUUCCCGGUGUAGCGGUGGAAUGCGUAGAUAUCGGGAGGAACACCAGUGGCGAAGGCGGCCUACUGGGCACCAACUGACGCUGAGGCUCGAAAGUGUGGGUAGCAACAGGAUUAGAUACCCUGGUAGUCCACACCGUAAACGAUGAUUACUAGGUGUUGGAGGAUUGACCCCUUCAGUGCCGCAGUUAACACAAUAAGUAAUCCACCUGGGGAGUACGACCGCAAGGUUGAAACUCAAAGGAAUUGACGGGGGCCCGCACAAGCAGUGGAGUAUGUGGUUUAAUUCGACGCAACGCGAAGAACCUUACCAAGUCUUGACAUCCCUUGACGAACAUAGAAAUAUGUUUUCUCUUCGGAGCAAGGAGACAGGUGGUGCAUGGUUGUCGUCAGCUCGUGUCGUGAGAUGUUGGGUUAAGUCCCGCAACGAGCGCAACCCUUACUGUCAGUUACUACGCAAGAGGACUCUGGCAGGACUGCCGUUGACAAAACGGAGGAAGGUGGGGAUGACGUCAAAUCAUCAUGCCCUUUAUGACUUGGGCUACACACGUACUACAAUGGCGUUAAACAAAGAGAAGCAAGACCGCGAGGUGGAGCAAAACUCAGAAACAACGUCCCAGUUCAGACUGCAGGCUGCAACUCGCCUGCACGAAGUCGGAAUUGCUAGUAAUCGUGGAUCAGCAUGCCACGGUGAAUACGUUCCCGGGCCUUGACACACCGCCCGUC
RNAcentral lists this ribosomal RNA (1366 nucleotides) under uncultured bacterium. RNAcentral's name for it is "bacterial SSU rRNA". It matches the Rfam family "Bacterial small subunit ribosomal RNA". The record is from RNAcentral.